Molecule: transfer RNA, 75 nt
Filed under: Bacillota bacterium
Lineage: Bacteria; Bacillati; Bacillota
Description: tRNA-Leu
Rfam family: tRNA
About the family: Transfer RNA (tRNA) molecules are approximately 80 nucleotides in length. Their secondary structure includes four short double-helical elements and three loops (D, anti-codon, and T loops).
Source: RNAcentral
GGGUCUGUACCCCAAUGUAGAGGGAGCACGCUUAGACCGUGUUAAGUGAGAGUUCAAAUCUCUCCAGACCUACCA